UCCGGGUGCAUUUGGAGCGGGUUCUGGUGAGGGACUGGAAGAUGCUCGGCCUGUGCUGUGUACAAAAGGGCUUGCAGGAGUCUGUUUGUCCCAUCUAAUGGGGCAAGAGGAGGGAGAAGGAACCCUUUCUUCGGAACUGUAGUGAUGCAAGACCUAAUGGGCGGAGGAGGCGAGACCGAAGCAGGAAGACACCUAACAGAAAGUUUCAGAGGUCCCCGAGGAAUUCUGCGAGUGAGCCUUUGUCUCUCUGCCAGCAAUCCUACAGUCCAGUUUGAGCUGAGCCAAGACUUUUGGACCAUGUCAGUCCCUGCAGAAGUCAGAAAUGGUCGUGGGAUCCCUGGAGCUGGAGUUACAAACACUUGUGAGCUGCUCUGCCUGGAUGCUGAGAUACAAACUCUGGUCUUUUUAAGAGCAGAAAGCCCCACCCUUAGCUGCCAAGCCAUUCUUCCAGCCCCUAAUGUGUUCUUAAUAGUUUAUCAGAACAUGGUGUCUACACAGCUGCUCCAUCUGGGAUUUCAGCAAACAGUAAAGUGGCCAUUGUUCAGUUGAAUUCUGUAUAGGUUCAAAUUGGAUUUCUAUAUGGCUGUGUUUUACAAACAUGAUCAGAAACUUUCUUCCCAUGUAUUCCUGCCCCUUCACCCUCUCUGAAUUUGAAGUCUACAUAGUCUCCAAACAAUGGAUAAGGAAAGCCCCAGGCUUCCUCCAAUUCUUUUGUAAGGAAAGAUUUCCUGCUAUAUUCAGGCCAAACCGGACUUCUUUUUAUUUCCUGCAGAAGUGAAAGCAGACAGACUAGGCUUCUCAGAAACAGCCUGGAUGUCAAGAAACCAGGUGCUUUCCUUUUGACUGGGUUGGAAUUUGGUUUGUGCAGUUGUUUGUACAUAAGGCUGUUGGAAGUUUUUUCAAGUCCCAAGAUUAUGAAUAUUGGGUUGGAAUGCUUUUAUGCUAGCUGCCAUUUACAAAACAAACUCUAUAGCAAGCUUCACUGCACACAGCAACAGGGAUCACAUAAUUCAAGCAGAACAGAGGCAAGACCUUCAAGUUAGGAAAACAAUUGGCACUGUGAAUGUAGGUGUUUACUGAGCACAAAUACUUUGUAUACAAAACUCUUCAAGAUGUAUAGGAGAGUGUGAAGAUUCAUUUGACCUAGUCACUGCCCUAAGAGGGUUCACUGCAGUGAGUAAAAUGGACUUCUCAGAGAAUGGAAGAAUGGAGGAAAGCAAGAACCCUAGACAUUACAUGACUGAGCACCCCAAGAUUGCCAACAAGAGCAUUAGGAAACUUAACAUUGAGGAAUUUAUUUAAACGGUUUAUACGUGAAAAGGACUCAGAUUAUUAAAGCAUGGGCUUGCAGUUUUCUUACUCAUAAUUGUUUCCUGAUACGUUUUCUAUUAUUUUAAUGAACUCUGGUAUCAGUUACAUACAUUUUUAAAAAGAUAGAGAGUAUCACGAUGAUUAGCCUCAAACUGAUGAGACCUGGGUCACAGCACCUCAAGUAUGUGUGCCACCACACAAGCUCCUACACAAGUCUUAGAAAUCUCAGGGUGUCUUUUCAGAGCUCUGCUUUGACCCCUGUGACUAAGAAUUCUCUGAGUCAUGAUCAGGAUCAUUUUGUGAAGUUUCAGAAGAACUGUACUUGUCUUUAACAGAGUGGGCAAUUAUACAUUGAUUUAUAAAUAUUAUUUUUACCUAAUUCCUCUCAUUUGUUGUUCCACUCAUUUUUAACUCAUUUAAAAUCUCACAUUAUUAUUUGGUACAUUUCUUCAUUUCAAUUCUAAAAGGUUUCUAAAAAGUUGCCUUUGCUGGGUAUUUUUUUUUUUUCAGCAGCAAUUAGGGAAGUAACAAAUAUGGUGAGUUUCAGCGUUGUGUGCUUUCUCUGAAAAGUUAGUUGAUUUAUCUGAAUUGCCAAUGUUAUUCAAAUUGGGUUGUCAGAAUUCUUAUUUUAAAAUGUUCUUUGCUGAUCACAAAUUGUUUUUAUAAUUUUCAUUACAUAUAUUUAUUAUACAAAUUGUGUCAUGAUAGGAUAUGUUCAUAUAAGCAUAUCUUGCAUGUUUAGCAUACUCCCAUGCUCCUAUCAUUCUCAGCAUGCCCACCCCCUUCCAUUAGUCCUCUUUGUUUCCCUAAACAGUUACAUUUUGGCUUUUAUGUCAUAUAUACAAAUGUAAUUUUAUAUAUCUGUAUGCAGUCUAGGAGUUCAAUAUUAAAGAAAGCAUACAUUUGUUUUUCUGACACUGAUUUAACUUGCUUAAUGUGAUUAUCUCUGGUUGCAUCCACUUCCAGAAAACAGCAUAAAUCUGUUGUCAAUUCCUCCCCACCUUAUUUUUGAGACAGGGUCUCUCAGAAAACCCAGAGCCCAUUUGUUGGCUGGACUGGCUGGCUACCAACCUUGGUGCCAGGCUUACAGGUGUGCCCACCAUGUCUGGUUUGCUGUGUGGGUGCUGGGAUCUGAACUUAGAUCUUCAUGCCUGCACAGGAAGUACUUUACCCUCCCUGCAAAAAUGUUCUCAAUCCCUUUAAAAGAUGUAAACCGCUUACCCUGCAUUUUUUUGGCAGUUGGGAUAUAGUUUAUACAUAUUUUGUAGUACUAGAAGCUGGUCAAUAUGUGGAAUAUCUUUAUUAUGCUUGGGAAAAAUCAACAGGAUUUCAAGUACAGCUGCUAAUAACAGGAAAGAUUAGUGUAAGUUUAUGGUUACAGAUAAAUCAUUAAAUUACCUUUGAUAUCUACAGGUUACCCAUCAUAAUUUAAUGGCCAUCUUUAAAGUUAAUGUUCCACAUUAUGUUUAAGUAUCAUGUUACUAUGUAAUCUAGAGUCAACUCUUCAUGUUUGGAAAUGUCCUGUUAUAGUUUCAAUCUAAAUGAACUGAAACAUUUCAUUCUUCACCCAUGGAUUUGUAGAUUCAUCUCCUUGAUUCAUCAUGCCAAUGACUUCUUCCAUCUUCAAGGGGAUAAUAUUUACAUAUAUAUAAAUAUAUAUAUAUGUGUGUGUGUGUGUGUGUGUGUGUGUGUGUGUGUGUGUGUGUGUGUGUGUGUGUAUGAAUUCUAGAUCUCCAAGCAGGUGUCUUCAUUCAUAAUAAAGUGUGUUGAUAGGAUUACCUACCACCAAUGUCCACAAAUCAUGCCAUUGCUCAAAGUUUGAGCAGUUUUAAUAUAAUGUAGAACUUUAUGUUGUCUCCAGCAAGGAGUGAGGAUGGCUGUCCCUGUCCUUUAGACCAUCACACUCCUUGACAGCUUGGUUCCUAAUUAUGUGCCACCAUUUAAGAAUGUGUUCAGUGUCUACUUGUCUCCUGGAGAUCAUCUGGAAAAAGGACUUUCUUCUAGCAGUGCUGUAGAUACCUCUCCUGUGGUAGAGAUGUCAAUGACAUCCUUGGUGCACAAUCUUAUAGGAAGAUAAACAUGAUUCAAACGAUCACACUGAAGUGUAUUUUUUUUGUUUGUUUUCUGAUGCAGGACCCAAUUAUUAUCAACUGGAGCUACUCUUGUUCCCAAUUCUGUAGCCCAUUCAUCUGUUUUGAGUGGCAGGACAGCAGUAUUCUUUAAGCCUUUAGCUUAUGACACAUAUGCGUGAGGCUUCCCUUUCAUAGAGAAUCUUUAUCUCAUCUGGAAGUAUUUCACGCUCCUGCUGGAAUCUCUCAUUUAGUUGUAGUAUCCAUAGUAAAUUAUUUUUUAUUAUUUAAUUCCUUAAAUUCUUCUCCACCCUAAAUUUUUAUUACACUUCUUUAACUUGUUUUUAGUCAUUAGUAAAUUUUAAUAUUCAAAUUUUUCCCUUUUGGAUUCUUCAUAUCUACCUCCCCCAAGUUACACUUUUCUUUGGGCAGCUGUGGUCACUUCUCCUGGGGGGUUCCUUUGGCUAAAAACGAGUUCCAUUGAUAAAUCUAAGUUAUCAGUAUAGGUUUUUUUCUCAUUGAUUACCUGUGACCCCCAUAGGUAAUCUUAAUCAUGUGUUUGACUUUAAAUUUUAGCAUUAUAGACCUUAAUACAUCCACCUACUCAUAUCUUAUAUAACUAGGCACCACAGGAAUGAAUCCUGAAAAUCUGACUAAGGCUCUGAAUCUUAGACUAAGACAUUUAGUCUAGGGGAUGGAGGAUGGCUCAUCCAGUAACAUGUCUGCCGCACAAGCAUAGGACCUGAGCUGGACUCCUGGGCACCCAAGUAAAAGUUAGACACAGCACUGCCUUGUAAUACCAGGCUGGGGAGGCAGAUAUAGAUAGAUCCUUGAAACUCAUUCCCUAGUAGGUGACCCUCAUCAUUGAGUUCAAGGUUCAGUGAAAUACCCUGUCUCAAAAAAUAUAGUGGAGAGUAAUGGAGGAAGAUUGGAAGUAGAUCUCUGGCCUUCACGUCUAUGAGCACACAUGAAGAAACACUAACAUACGCAUGCAUGUUUACACACACCAAAAAAAGAGCGAGGAGAGUGAGGACAAAAGUGAAUGAGAGAGACAGACAGAGACAGAGAGUCAGACAGAAGAAGAAAUUUAGUAUGAGCUUUCACAACUUGGCAGCAGGGUGCCAGAUGAUGAUUAUGAAAAUCAGAGUCCCAGACUGAAGAUAAUGAAUUUCUUCAUCUAACUCCCUACUGAACUUGGGAGCAGAGUCUAGGAAAGAGGAGGGACAGACAGACUGUCACAUAGAUAAACUCUUUUAGAUAUAAACUCAUUCCGGGUAAGAUGGAAAAAAACUUAAUCUGUUGUAUAUAUCUUAUAAAUAGUGUUUAUUUAUUUUGAGACAGGGGCUAUCACCCUGGUUGGUUUUUAAUUCCCUACAUAAGUGAGGAUGAUUUUGACCUUUUGAUCUUCCUGUCUUCACUUUGCAAACUUAAUCUUAUAUGAACCUGGAUUUUCUUUAUUUCCAUUUUCCAGAGGGAAAUAGUUCAUGGUUCAUAGAGUCUUAAGAAAGAAAUAAAGAUAAAACAUAAAGAGCAUAGCUAUCAUAAUUAAACAGAUAUUACUAAAGGACUUAGCAUGACACCAUUACACAUUGAAAA
This is a long non-coding RNA of Peromyscus californicus insignis, 4976 nucleotides long. RefSeq lists it as uncharacterized. Lineage: Eukaryota; Metazoa; Chordata; Mammalia; Rodentia; Cricetidae. The record is from RefSeq and is a predicted model, not a curated record. The transcript is spliced from 3 exons.